GAGGGGGUCGCGGCUGAUUAGCUAGUUGGUAGGGUAAUGGCCUACCAAGGCGAAGAUCGGUAUCCGGCCUGAGAGGGCGCACGGACACACUGGAACUGAAACACGGUCCAGACUCCUACGGGAGGCAGCAGUGGGGAAUUUUGCGCAAUGGGGGAAACCCUGACGCAGCAACGCCGCGUGGAGGAUGAAGUCCCUUGGGACGUAAACUCCUUUCGACCAAGACGAUAAUGACGGUACUGGUGGAAGAAGCACCGGCUAACUCUGUGCCAGCAGCCGCGGUAAUACAGAGGGUGCGAGCGUUGUUCGGAAUUAUUGGGCGUAAAGGGCGCGUAGGCGGCGCGACAAGUCGCCUGUGAAAUCUCUGGGCUCAACUCAGAGCCUGCAGGCGAAACUGUCGUGCUGGAGUAUGGGAGAGGUGCGUGGAAUUCCCGGUGUAGCGGUGAAAUGCGUAGAUAUCGGGAGG
RNAcentral lists this ribosomal RNA (463 nucleotides) under uncultured Acidobacteriota bacterium. RNAcentral's name for it is "bacterial SSU rRNA". It matches the Rfam family "Bacterial small subunit ribosomal RNA", at positions 224 to 704 of the family's 1533-position model. The record is from RNAcentral. Lineage: Bacteria; Pseudomonadati; Acidobacteriota.